GACGAACGCUGGCGGCGUGCUUAACACAUGCAAGUCGAACGGAAAGGCCCUGCUUUUGUUGUGUGCUCGGGUGGCGAGAGGGUGAGUAACACGUGAGUAACCUGCCCUUGACUUUGGGAAAACUUCAAGAAACUGGGGCUACUACCGCAUAUGAGCUCCUGCUGCAUGGUGGGGGUUGGGAAGUUGCGGCGGUUGGGGAUGGACUCGCGGCUUAUCAGCUUGUUGGUGGGGUAGUGGCUUGCCAAGGCUGUGACGGGUAGCCGGCCUGAGAGGGGGACCGGCGACAUUGGGACGGAGCUACGGCGCAGACGCCGACGGGAGGCAGCAGUGGGGAAUAGUGCACAAUGGGCGGAAGCCUGAGGCAGCGACGCCGGGUGCGGGAUGACGGCCUUCGGGUGGUAAACCGCUUUCGCCUGGGACGAAGCGGGAGUGACGGUAAUGGGUAAAGAAGCACCGGCUAACUACGUG
Molecule: ribosomal RNA, 468 nt
Filed under: uncultured bacterium
Lineage: Bacteria
Description: partial 16S ribosomal RNA
Rfam family: Bacterial small subunit ribosomal RNA
Source: RNAcentral